GGCAACCAAACAUGGUGUAGCUCUCGUUAUUUGUGGUUCUUUCUGGGAAUUGAAUUUGGAGUUGGAAUUAUUAAUUUUCUCAACGAUUGACACGGAGAUCGCAAUCGCGAGCACUUACGAAGAUCUGAUGAAGCUCUCAAAGACCUCUUGCGAAGAAGGUAAGCUGGAGAAGCUUUUGUCUGUUUUGAUCUUCUGCUUCUUUAGAUUGUUUCUAAAAUUUCGUUCCGAAACCUGAAAUUUUUUGUUUUUUUAAAAAGUGGUUCUUACAUGCUCUUUGAUGAUUCGUCUCAUCUUUUGUCUUCUCCUCUCCGGCUUCAGCUUAGUAAGCAGAGGUUGAGUGCUUGCUAGUGAUGUAAUUUGUCUUCUUUAAUAUAGUCAUUCCAGGAAAACGCAAAGCAUGUAAGCUAAGAAAAAUUUUCCCCCCUUUUUAAUACAGUACAUGGAAUUUGAUUGGAGUUUUAGGAAACUAAGCAUGAUUCAUCAAAUUAAAUAUAACAAAAACAAACAGUGGGAUUGGACAAUCAAAUAAUAAAGCAGCAAUAAGUCUUUAGUAGGCUCCUUGACAUUUCCUCUUUGUGUAAAAUAUUUCAACUCCUUUAUGAAUUGGGAUUUGAUGAUUGAUAUUUAUUGAAGCAUGUUAAUUUAUAUUUGAAGAUGCAAUUGCUGUGUUAACUCAGUUGAUAAGUGGAUUUGCUCCCCACUUUACUGGUCAAGAUUCCAAUAUUGGAGUCAGAUCACAAGUGAGGUAGUUUCCUCUUCCUAUCUGAAAUUCCCAGUGUGUAUGAUUAACCUUGACUGAAAUGGGAAUGUAGAACUAUUACAGAACCUGAGAUUUUGCCCAUUAUAUGCCUAGUAAAGAACUGCAGUCUGCAGAACUCUUUCUUCUCUCCAGCUAACAUACUGGAUAUGCAGCGCUUUCGUGUUGGCGAUUUUGCCAAAUUAUCUUUCCUCUGCAUUCUCAUAACUCAAUGGGGGUAGAUGGGUAUACCACCAAUCUGGUCACUCCUGCUAAGAUGGUAAUUGAUGAAUACGACAAGCAACAGGUGGAAGUGAAGAAGUAAGAAAAUAAUCUGCAAGGGAUUUUUUGACUCUCUUUUUAGGAUCAUUUUGUCUACUUAAGACUAUUAGGGAUUCUGAAUUUGAUAUUCUUGUUUUCGUCACUUGAAUUGAGUAGCAAAAGAAAUUGCAGAACAUUUAGUUAUGCUAAUUAUGAUUUUGUAAAAUUUAGUAUAUGUUUUUUA
Molecule: long non-coding RNA, 1241 nt
Organism: Manihot esculenta (cassava)
Lineage: Eukaryota; Viridiplantae; Streptophyta; Magnoliopsida; Malpighiales; Euphorbiaceae
Exons: 2
Source: RefSeq, a predicted model, not a curated record